ACUCCUACGGGAGGCAGCAGUGGGGAAUAUUGGACAAUGGGCGAAAGCCUGAUCCAGCAAUGCCGCGUGUGUGAAGAAGGCCUGCGGGUUGUAAAGCACUUUUGCCAGGGAAGCAAAGGAACGCCCUAAUACGGUGUUGUGUUGACGGUACCUGGAGAAUAAGCACCGGCUAACUUCGUGCCAGUAGCCGCGGUAAUACGAAGGGUGCAAGCGUUAAUCGGAAUUACUGGGCGUAAAGCGCAUGCAGGUGGUUUGUUAAGUCAGAUGUGAAAGCCCGGGGCUCAACCUCGGAAUUGCAUUUGAAACUGGCAAACUAGAGUACUGUAGAGGGGGUAGAAUUUCAGGUGUAGCGGUGAAAUGCGUAGAGAUCUGAAGGAAUACCGGUGGCGAAGGCGGCCCCCUGGACAAAGACUGACGCUCAGAUGCGAAAGCGUGGGGAGCAAACAGGAUUAGAUACCCUGGUAGGAUAGCG
Molecule: ribosomal RNA, 472 nt
Filed under: uncultured bacterium
Lineage: Bacteria
Description: bacterial SSU rRNA
Rfam family: Bacterial small subunit ribosomal RNA
Source: RNAcentral